This is a long non-coding RNA of Sphaeramia orbicularis (orbiculate cardinalfish), 249 nucleotides long. RefSeq lists it as uncharacterized. The record is from RefSeq and is a predicted model, not a curated record. The transcript is spliced from 3 exons. Lineage: Eukaryota; Metazoa; Chordata; Actinopteri; Kurtiformes; Apogonidae.
CGUAGACCAGGAAGCACGGACGCGCGGCCGUUUUCCUUUUUUUUUCUGCUCUUUUUUUCUUUCUGUUGUUUUUCUUCCGGGGUUCAUCCGUUCAUCCACUCGGGGCCGGAGGGCGUAGAUGUGGACACCGAACACCGAACACCGACCGCGGCCGAGGAGGAGACUGACAGGCGGAUCCGUCCGGUCCGGGCUCCGCGGUGGAUGCGUCUGACUGCACCGGAGACACACGGUGUGUGUAGCAGCGUGGGC